This 738-nucleotide ribosomal RNA is filed under the name Triticum aestivum (bread wheat). RNAcentral describes it as "partial small subunit ribosomal RNA". Lineage: Eukaryota; Viridiplantae; Streptophyta; Magnoliopsida; Poales; Poaceae. The record is from RNAcentral.
AUGGCGGAUGCAAGGAUCAAGUUCACGCAACCGGAUGAAGAAACACCUUUUCGACGACACCUGAAGGAAGUCACUAAAUACCUGAACAUCGGAAUACCAAGCUUCACCGGGACCUACAUCGCCAGUUUACCAGAAGAGGAGCAUUGGAUGAUUCAAGUUCAGAUUCCUGGAAGAACAUUCACGCCAGUCACUGAGCCCAUAGAGUUUUCCUUUGAUGCCCCAACCUGGAGUUUAGGAAAGAGCAUGGCAGCCCACAUUGUCAUGGGAUGCAUUGGAGAAGUUUACCACAAGGAUCUCAAGGAUACUAUUUACCAGAAUUGUGGGCGCCGAGAUGAGCAAUGGGAAAUGAUCAGCACUAGGAAGGAUAGAUCGAUUGCCGCUUUCAUCCAGGAGUUAAACCAGCACAUUCGACGCCAGGAGAACCAGAUGUGCGCAGGCAUGAUAGAUCUGAAGAAGGCAAUGACCAAGAUCACGGAGCUGGAAGAAGAACUCAAGUCUACACGCGAUGGAUAUGAGGAGGAAAUGACGAUACUCGUGGAGAAGAAUGAUGAUCUGAAGAAGAAGCUAGGAGUGUUCAUGGGAGACCCCGCGCCAGGAGGAGAAGACGACGAUUCCACUUGCCCGGAGAACUACAUCAUCAUCGACGACAGCGACUCGGACCCUGACGAUAGCGAUGAUGACUAUGUUGGUGAAGCUGGAGCGGAUAUCAUGGAGUCUUCGACCGAUCAAUUUUUCUAG